UUUUUUUUUCCUUCAAUCAGAGGUUUGACCAGUAUAGAGGUGAUAAAACCUUGCCUGCGAGCCUCGAACCCUCAUCCAGUGCAGAGGAGAUGCCCACCUCACUGAGCUUGAACGCGAAAAUCCGAGCCAUCGAGGCGAAGCUGCAGAUGAUGGAGGAGAACCCGGAUGAGCAGUACUCGGGCCCCUCCGUGUACCUUUACAACAAGCCUCCUGAGAAGAAGCGUCCGGCGCCCUACGGCAAGCAUCACCGCAAAUACCGGCGAUGACGCAGACACGUGUGCCCGGCGCACGCUCGCGGAGCAGGACCCGCUGCAGUAGCCUUGGGACCGUCACAAAGUGCUACAAUCAGAUUCUCUGUUCUCUGCAGCAUUGUGAAACGUGAAAUUUAGGCUGGAGGGCCUGGCUGGUCACGUGGGAAUCUAGCUACCAGUUGGCUGGACGUCAGCGAGCCAGCCACGGUGCUUUGUGACUGUUACACCAAGGUUCUUGGCUAGGAUGCAAGCAACACAGAAUGCUACUGUUUUGUCUAAACAACUUUCUCAAAAUUUUUGACCUAUUUUUUUUUUUUUUUAAAGAAUUUUUAAGUUUUUACCAUUGGCUACAGAGAAUUUUUAAUGAAUAAACCUUACAAUUCUAGAUUUACUGUGGCCUUCUCGAUAUUUUUUGACCUUCGAACCUUAGAAAUUGGAAUUGUAUGCAAAUGUGUACUGCGUGUCCCCCUGACAUUAAAAUAGGAGGUCCUUGAGUGCUUAAUGUAAUUUAGCUGUGUCUUCCUGUGCUCAAUUUUUCACAUUUGGUCAUAGCUUUGAUAUGGCAGUAGUGAUGUUCUUUUUGUUUGGAUUGUAAGACCAGUCAGAAGACUUUGGAUUCAUUAAUCAUUAGCUGAAACUAAACAUUUAAUUCUUUUGAAUGUAUAUAUGCCAUUCCCCACCCCCCACACAAGUACUUUUAGGAGAGGACUCCAUUGAGUUUGACAAACAUUUGUCUCUGCAGUUAUCACCAGCAUUUGUUUUCAUUUUAUUUAAUAAAAGUAUUGGCGAUAUAAUACACUAAGUUUGCAAUAGCUAAGCCUAUUGCCUUCCGGUGCUGUUUGCCAUGUGCUUGUGUGUUUGUCUGUUCUGUACUAAAUGGACUGUCUACUUCCCCACUGUGUUAUUCUGCUAAAACAAGAAACUUUUCAAACCUGCUCAUAUGAGUAAUGGUGUUUUUUUUAAGGACCAGAGUUCAAGAUGAGAGCAGCACAAAAGGGAUAAUAGAUAUUUUUUUUUUGCUGUGCUCAUUUGGUUCUAAUGAGAUAGCAGAUUUUUUUUCAGCUUGGUAAUGGAAAAAUAGAUUGAAUUGUUGUAAACAUGCAAAUCAUAUUGCUGAAAUAAAUGAAUCUCAUGUCCUUUUUUUCCUUUGAGAGAAUCAUGUGUCAUAUGUUUCCUAUGUGAAAAGAACGCUGUGUUGAUUUGCAGGGGUUUUUGGUUUUGGGGGUGUGCGAGGGUGCACCGUAAAAUUCUGUAGUAUGCUGUAGUUUUUCUUGUUUUUUUUUUUUGUUUGUUUUUUUUUUAAAACAAAGGAUUUGCCUUCUUUUUGUUAGCGUGCUGCUAGUUUACUUUAUGCAUAUGAUUGAUUUUUAUUUUUUUUAUUAUUUAAGCUUAUAAAUUUUCUAUAAAUGCUUAUGAUCAGAAGGUCGUUGGUUCAAAUCCCAGCACUGGCAGAGUGGUGACACCAUUGGGCCCUAGAGCAUGACUCUUACUCUCUGGGCACUCCAGGGACUGUCUAACCCUGCUUUCUCAAAAUGUUUGCCACUUUAGAUGAAUGCAUCUGCUAAAUGAAUGAACUGUAGAUGCUUAUCCCGUUUUGGAUCAUGGUGAACCAGGAAGCAGAAAGACCAAGGCAGUGUUUACCUGGGAUGGGGUGCCAGUUCGUAUGGGAUUGUGGGUAAUUGAGAGGCUUGCCCAUAGAUUGUACAUGCAAGUAUCAUGCAUGAAGCCUGGACCUGCUAUGGGACAGUGCUGACCGCUGAGACACUGAUCAGCCCUAACAUGACGUAGCACUGCGCUGUGCUGCUGUCACUGCUCAGCUCUUACAAACCAGUCAUUUCUUGGUUUCUGGAACCCUAAAGUUGUCUGUAAUGUUUUUUCUCCUAAAAAUUUAAUUUGGUAUUGGAGCUAUAUUAAAGAUCUGCAGAAUGAAUGUGUUA
Paramormyrops kingsleyae is the source of this 2188-nucleotide non-coding RNA. The record is from RefSeq and is a predicted model, not a curated record. NCBI's taxonomy places the organism in Eukaryota, Metazoa, Chordata, Actinopteri, Osteoglossiformes, Mormyridae.